Molecule: long non-coding RNA, 1849 nt
Organism: Leucoraja erinaceus (little skate)
Lineage: Eukaryota; Metazoa; Chordata; Chondrichthyes; Rajiformes; Rajidae
Exons: 3
Source: RefSeq, a predicted model, not a curated record
GCUUUAAUCGGCAGGAAGUUGCAUUCAAAUAGGUCGUUUAAAGUGCUAAACACCUGGAGGUUAUGAUCUAAGCAUUAUCAGUCAAAGCCACAGAAAGAAAUGCACUGGAGUACAUUUCAAGGUGUGUCGGAAAGGUGAUGUACUAGGGAGGAGCUUCCAGACAUAAGGCCCUGACAGCUGGAGGUUAUACCAGUGACUGUGGAACAAUUAAAUGAAAACCAAAAAAAAUGUCGAUGCUAGUAAUACUAGGUGGACUGAGGAUCCAGUGGGAGGUGUUCUAGGAAACAAGAAUACCUGGAGGUAACCCACGCAGUCACGGGGAGAAUGUGCAAACUUCUCACAGACAGCACCCGAGAUCAGAAUCAAACCUGGGUCUCUGGUGCUGUGAGGCAGCAGCUCCACCAACUGCACCACUGUGCUGCCCCAAUGUUAUGAUGAUGUUACAGAAGCACAUACAGGUUCUAAAUGCAUGGCAUUAUCUAUCACAAAAAAAACAAACUACUGGAGGAGCUCAGCAGAUGGAGCAGCAUCUUUAAGAGACAUGGUGGAACGGAGGAAUGGUCAACAUUUUGGGUCGACACCCUGCAUCUCUUAAGACUAAGAGCUGGAUGCAUGAAAUUAUCUUCUCGAUGCGAUAAUGGUGGAGAGAGUCAACAGCUUUAAUUUCCCAGCCAUGCAUACCUUGUACUUGGGUAUGAUUGUGUUUGUGUACAGUGAGGUUUUACUGGAUGUAUGCAACAACAAAAAAAGAAUUUCACUGUAUCGAGGUAUAUGUGACAAUAAUGUCCCAUUAAACCCCAGAAAAAAAAAAUUCAAAGGAUUGCAAAAUGCUUAUAUUUCUUCUUGUUCAUCUAUCCAUUUGCUAAGGUCAUGGAUUCUUACACUGGCAGGUCAAAUGAUAUUUGUUCAUUGAGUGAAUGAUUACCAGGAUCAUGUCUUGUGUAAUGCUCCCAAUGCUCAUUUGAAUGAGGAUUGCAAUGCAUUGAGGGAUACGUUACUUGCAGUAUAAUUGUAACAUUGUAAUAUCAUUUAUUUAGGAUUUAAAUUUUCAAAAGAAACUAAGUAAAAACUGGCAACAGUUCAAAUGAUAACUUGCAUCAGAACUGCCCAGGGCCAAAAUCCACCAGACAGCACAGUACAGCAACAACUCCCUUUUUCUACACCUGAGGAAAUAGAAAACUUGAUUCAUACAAUAUCAACAUAUUUUCUCUCUAACGUCAGGAGUUAGUUCAUUUGCUUGCUUAAGAUGAGGUGAAAAUGAGGUGCUCGAUUUAAAAUGCAGCAUUAUGUCACUGCUAGAUUUUAUUUUAAAUCUGGCUUUACAAUAUCAAUGUUUCAAUUCCCAAGGUUAGCUUACUUAUCAAUAAGAUCAUGCAUUAACUCAAUGCUUUAAAAUGAUCACAUUUCUCCAAGACAAUUCCUAACGACAUUUUCCAGCAGAACAUUUUAGGUCACUUAACCCAAACAGAGAUAGACAGAUUCUUCCCAUGGCUAUCUGGACUACAAUUCUUCCCACCCUGCUUCCUGUAAGGACUCCAUCCCCUACUCCCAAUUCCUCCGCCUACGCCGCAUCUGCUCCCAGGAUGAGGCGUUCCACACCAGGGCAUCUGAAAUGUCCUCAUUGUUCAGGGAACGGGGGUUCCCCUCCUCCACCACAGAUGAGGCUCGCACAAGGGUCUCUUCCAUACCCCGCAACACUGCUCUGUCUCCCCAUCCCCAGUACAGUGAGGUACAGGUUCAGUGAAAAUCUUGCAGCAGUAUCAGAGGCACAUAGCUCAGACAACACACAAAAAAUAAAAUAUACUUGAAUUAUAUGUAAAUUCUGCCAGUGUGAAAAUAAACAAGUGUG